ACAUGUCUGCUUGGAGCUAUAAGAAGUCUAGCCUGCUCUCUGAUAAUUUUAAGGGCCGCGGUAAUUUGACCGUGCAAAGGUAGCAUAAUAGUUAGUUUUUUAAUUGGAAUCUUGUAUGAAUGGUUGGACAAAAGAAAUACUGUCUCUAUAAUUAUUCUUGAAUUUAACUUUUAAGUGAAAAGGCUUAAAUAUUUUAAGAAGACGAUAAGACCCUAUAAAGCUUUAUAAGAAGUUUAUAUUUAGUUAAAAUAAAUAAUAAAAUCUUAAUAUUUACUCUUAUUUUAUUGGGGAGAUAAAAUUAUAAUUUAAUAUAACUGAGUUUUAUUAAUACAAAAAUAAAUGUUUAUUAGUAGAUAAAAGAUCCCUUCUAGGGAUUUUAAGUUUAAGUUACUUUAGGGAUAACAGCGUUAUUUCUUUUGAGAGUUCGUAUCGAAAAAGAAGAUUGCGAUCCUCGAUGUUGACAUUAAAANUUCUAGAUUAGUGCAGCAAGUCAUCUUAGAA
RNAcentral lists this ribosomal RNA (501 nucleotides) under Austinixa aidae. Its description in RNAcentral is "partial large subunit ribosomal RNA". It matches the Rfam family "Archaeal large subunit ribosomal RNA", at positions 1905 to 2640 of the family's 2987-position model. Lineage: Eukaryota; Metazoa; Arthropoda; Malacostraca; Decapoda; Pinnotheridae. The record is from RNAcentral.